UGCAUCGGAGCCUGUAGCCUCUGGCCUACACCACAGCCACAGCAAUGCGGGAUCCAAGCUGCAUCUGCGACCUACACCACAGCUUACACCCCGCCAGAUCCUUAACCCACUAAGCUAGGCCAGGGAUUGAACCCUCAACCUUAUGAUUCCUAGUUGGAUUCAUUAAUCACUGAGCCAUGAUGGGAACUCCUACUUUUAGUUUUCCUUGACAAUCGGGUAAGGAGCACAUUAAAUUGUUUCUCAUGCUUUUACUCAAAAACUAUCAUUAGCUAAAAUUCCUAUAUGUAGAAUCUGUGAAUUAGCACCAAAUAUAUUUAUCAUCUAGUUAACAAAUACUGUAAUUGUAUUGCCAAAUACAGCCAUUAAGUAAUUUCCCUUAAGGUAUUAAAAAUCCCGUGUUAUCACUGAAGAAAAUAUACUUUAGAAAUGUGGUAUAACACUGAGAGAUCCAAUUUCACUUGCAUAUUAUUCUGUUUAAUUGACAUGCAACUAAGUAUGUAUCAACAAUAUUAAUGCUCUAUAUCAGAGAUUGGCUUUCUCGUUAAAAAAAAAAAAACAAAAAAAAAUAAAAAACAGUAAAUAUUUUGUGCAUUGCAUGUCCUAAGAUGUUUGUCUCCACUGCUCAGCAGUGUUCUUGCAUCAGGAAAGCAUGUACAGAAAAUACAUAACAAAUGGAUGUGGCUAUGUUCCGUUUUGUUUAAAAAUCAAAACAGGGAUUUGCUGUAUUUGCGUAUGGUCUGGUCUCUGUGCGCCUCUCUCCCUCUCUCGCAUCACCGCCUCUCACUCACAUGCUCCUUUGGUUCUCUGCCUCCCAUCGACUUUCUGUUGCUUGGACAUACUUAUUUCAUUCCUGGAUUAGAUCUAUGGUACUUUUUUUGCUCUCAGAUUGUAAAUAUCUGUCCAUGCCUUCCACAGCUUGCUUCUUAUCAAAUGUAACCUGCUCAGAGAUGUCUUGUCUAAGUCGCUUUCUCUUCUAGCCACACACACACACACACACACACACACCCCACUGUCUAUGAGUUAAUUAGAGGAUCAAAUAAAGAUAAAAAGGCCAUGCAUACAAAAAAAUAGAGGAUCAAAUGUCAGUCUUUGUUGUAUUAAGGCUUUCAACUGAUUGGGUGAGGCCCACCCAUUUAUGGGGCAUAAUCUGCUUUGUCAAAGUCCUCCAAUUUAAAUGCUAAUCUGUCAAAGUCUUCCAAUUUAAAUGCUAAUCUCAUCCAAUAACAGUCCCAAGAAUAUCUAGGGUGAGGCCUGACCAAAUAUCUGACCCUCGUGGCCCAGUAAGAUUGACAUAAAGCUUGUGAAACUUUCAUCCUAUGUAGCUAAGAAGGAAAUAAAAUACCAUGCUUUGUGUAAGCUAUUUUGCACUUUGUGGCAAAAUAAAAGAUGUUUUUCUUCAGCAUUUUGGUUUUUCAAGAAUGUAAAUUAUAUUUCUCUGCUCUUAUGUAAACAUUUUAUGUAAUUAUUUCAUCAAAUUUCCUUAUCUGGUGUGGUUAUCGGUCUAGCUUUUUUCAGUAUUUAUUGUACUGGAGACAUUUAACAGGGUCCAAUGUGAAAAUAAGUUCAUAAAAGAAAUAGGUUACUUGCAUCAGAUUAUAAAUUCUUUCUUACUUUCUCUUUUCCAACUGAGCAUGCAUAGAUACACUACUAAUUUGAUUUUUGAAACAUGACUCUGCUAAAUCUAUUUUAAGCUAUUAUAAUCUCUCAUUAUAUGUGCAUUACUAUACUGCUUUAUUUUUAAGUAGCUCUGGGUCAUUACACACCUCAAAUUGUGAUGUAUCUGAUUAAAAUACAGAAAGGUAUUAUAAGAAAUAAAAAAUUCAAAUUCCACUCAUAAUUAAAGAUGCAACAUAGGAAAACUUAAUUUAGAAAUAGAUGAGCAUACUACCUUAGGGAAAUUUGAAAAAGGUCAUACAAAGACUGAUUAUUAAAAAACACUCUUCUACAAUUUCUGUGUUCUUUGACUAUGAUACUUUAAUGGUCAAAGAUUUAGGAAGAACUAAGAGAAAAUAGUAUACAGAGGUUUUUUCUCAUAAUAAUUUCAGCUCCACAUGUAUAAUUUGUACAAAUAUUGUUUUUAAUGUUUGUUUGAAACGAUAUAUUGAAAACAGGGUUCAUAAAUUGACGUGGCAGAGUUCCCAUUAUGACUCAGCAGGUUAAGAACUCGACACUGUCUCCGAAAGGAUGCGGCUUUGAUCCCUGUCCUUGCUCAAUGAGCCGAGGAUCUGGCGUUGCCACAAGCUGUGGUGUAGGUUACAGAUGUGAUUAGUUUCUGUAUUGCCGUGACUAUGGCAUAGGCCUCAGCUGCAGCUGCGAUUUUGACCCCUAGCAGUGAACUUCCAUGUGCUGCAGAUGUGACCAUAAAAAGAAAAAUAACUAAAUAAGUAAAACUGACGGGACAUAUGACGACGUAAUUAUUUUACUUUGGUAAACCUGAGAAACGCGAGAGUCACAACUGCUCCGUCAAGGAAUGAUGGUCCCAUCCCGGAAGUACAGCGAAAUGGAACAUGAUUUCCAUAGUAGGCAGGUGGAUGGAAUGUGUUUGUGAAUGUUCAUUAAAUUUUAUUUCAGAGUGAUUUGCUAUUAAACUCAUUCUUUCGGGAGCUCAGUUAAUGUAUGGAGCUAGGAAGCCAAAGCCAGGUGACGUGUUUUGCGUCCCCACAGGACUGUUUAAGAACCAAUCCAUCUUAUCCACCAGACGCUAAGUGUUCUUGGUUGUGCAAAGAGGUGAGGGAUCUGCUCAAAAUCCUUAUUUUGAAUACGUAGCAUGCAUUUUAGACCUCUAGCUCGAAUCCACAUCCUAAUUCAAUCUCUUGUAUCCAGUUUCAUAACUUAUUUCCUGGCUUGAAGUAUAAUCCCAUCAAAUUCAUUCCCACCGUCUCCAUCUCAUUAAGAGCCAACGUGUAUCUGAUGCUCAUGAUGUUCCAGAUGCUUUACAAAUAACGUCCAUGCAUCAUUCCACCACAUCACUGAAGUCUCAGCGUAUGCCCACAAAGCAUCCACUACCUGGUGAUGAACAUGUGUAAGGUAGAUCACACAAGGGUUUGUAUCCAAGAAAUGAUGGAGUGAGAAUUUGUUCUCUGAUCCCGAGAGUCUGCGCUAUUGAUGACUAACCCCACUGGAGGCCUUACACACAUUCUCAGUGGUGUGAAAACACAACUCCAGGUCUGCUAUACUAAAGUUACUACUCCGCCUAGUUUCUCUGUCUUGUCAAAUAACGAUGCUCUUUUCUUCCUUAGUCUGAGUUCUCAUUUCUCACCUAUGUAAUCUCACGAGAUUAUGAUCAUCACUUUUGAACUGCUGUUACACUCCAGUCUAUCCUUCACUCACUGCUGUGUUUAAUGAUCUAGAAUGCAAAUAUGAUCCUGCUCUGUCGCUGUCUGAAAUCUGUCUAUGCUUUAGUAAUGCAUUUCAAGUCCUUAGAGCAAAAUCCAAAUACAGUUGAGAAUGUGGUCAGUAGUAAACACCCAGUGUCAUCGCUCAUAAUUUGCCAGCGGUCAUUAAUGGUACGUGCACAGCACAUCAAGCCACUUGACUGCUGAACAUGCUGGGGAAAUAAAAUCACACCAAAGAGACAAAAGAUAACAACAACAACAAAUGCCAUCACUGCCAAUCACAAAAAUGUACUGUUAGAUCUCUUGAAAUCCAGGAACACUCAAGCUGCAGAGAAGCCAGUUCCAAUGGUCUUGGCUGCCUGUAGCAUUAAAACCAGAGAUUCCCAAGUUUUCACCCAGGGAAUUUGCAAACCUCCCAUAUAUUUAGUCACAUAUGCACACGCUGGUUUGGGAGAGCCAUAAUGGCUGACAGCUUCUUUUUUUCUCCCUUUCAAAUCUUGCAUGAAUGUAUUGGCAAAAUGUUGUUGAUAGCCACCCGACUGAGCAUGGAGUCCUGCCAGUGCAAUUACGUGGCUCUUAGUGCUGCUCCAGAGCAGGGCACGUAUUAGUCUAUGCAUGCUGUUGAGUAUCAAUAUAUCCUCUCUGCAGAAGUGAUACAGAAUCCACGCUCACCCUUUCCUGAUGCUUGCCUGGUCCUAGCCAGCAUAAUCUUUGACUAUCGUAUAGCAAGUGCCUCUAACGGAGCAUAAUAUGUUUGCUUUUGCCUUUUCCUAAUGCCCACCUUCAAUCCAGCAGCCAGAAUAUUCCUCUAAGGGUCUGCAUCAAGUCACAUCACUCCUCAGAUCAAGACUUUCCAUCAGCUCUUAAUCUUACUCAAAAGUCAUGCAAAGGCCACGAUGGUUUAAGUUUCAGGUAACCUCCUGAUUUUUUUUCUCCUAUUAGUUUUUCUCCCCACUCACUCUGCUCACGUUAUACUGGCCUCCUUGAGGCUUCUUUAGCAGCGCAGGCAUCAUCAAAUACAGGAAUUUUGUCCUCCAUCUUUCCUCAUCAUCAACAGUCUGGCCAGCGUUCCGAGGACUCAGCGCCUCACUCAUUUACAUCUUUGUCUUUCCUCAAGUGCUACUUUCACAGUAGUCUUCACCCACUAUUCCAUAUAUAAUUGUGCCAAGUUCCCCAAACCAGGUGGAACUUCUUACUUCCUUUCCUGACUUGAUUUCUUUCAUAGCACUUAUCACCUUCUAAUAAACUAUAAAACAUCUUAACAUUCUUUCUAUUUAACACUUUUUUUGUCUUUUUAGGGCCACACCUGUGGCACAUGGAGGUUCCCAGGCUAGGGGUCGAAUUGGAGCUGUAGCCGCCAGCCUACACCAGAGCCACCGCAAAGCCAGAUCCCAGCCGUGUCUGUGACUGACACCACAGCGUUGCCGGAUCCUUAACCCACGGAGCGAGGCCAGGGAUCGAACCUGCGACCUCAUGAAUACUAGUCAGAUUCGUUUCCACUGAGUCAUGAUGGCAAGUCCUAUUUAACACUUUUUAUUGUCUUAUUUUGUCUUUUUUGAUUGUGUCUACCCUAUCAACUCAGUUCCUCAAGGACCGAGAUUUUUGGCUGAUCUUUCAUAAUUUCAGUAACAAGAACAGAGCUUCACACAGAGCAGAAGCACAAUAAAUAUAAGUUGACUUAAAAAAAUUGAGGAAGGGGUGACAUAUUCAGAUACCAGGGGCAGUGUGUGGCAAGGAGGAAGAAGAUCACCGUACAUGCUGGAGAAAAUGAAAGAUCAGGCAGGAAUAAACCCACAAAUAAUGAUGGAUUCUGGGAAGGGGGGAGUUAGAAAUAGAGGAAGAAAAAAGUGGCAACAGUUGGCUGCACAGUGAGCAAACCCUAAAAUAAUCAAAAACAUUCUUUAAUCACACGUAGAACCAAAUCCUCCAAAUGAAAAGCCUGAGCAGUGAAGACUGGGGGAUUAAAUCUGGUUAGACGCCAUUGGCAUAUUUGAAAAUAACGUCUUUUUUAUAUUUGUAUUUUUAAGUACUUUAUCUAUAAUAAAAUAAAGAAGAAUAACUAGGGCAUAGGAAAUGUUUACGAUUUUAGCAAUUGCUGGAGAUCCCUGGUGGCCCGGGAACUUCUGCAUGCUAAGGGGCAGCCAAAAAAAAAAAAAAAAAAAAAAAAUCAAAGCACAGUUAUAGCAAUUGGCCAUAGGGAAGGAACAAGCAUUUUAAAUGGAGACAUUCUUCAGCAGCAUGGGCCAUGUGGCUCCCCCUAGAGGUCAUGAACACAGGAUACAGAAGGCUCUGAUGUUUACAUCUUCACCACAAACGCAUCCCCAACAGACUCCAUCAACAACUGGAAUUUAAUCACACAUGACUCAGACGAUCAACUCUCUUGACCUUGACUUAAUAAGAAAAUAAAUCUUGAUAUGGUUUUCCGUGUGUCUGAAACUAGCAAAGCCUAACAAAUGAACUGUACAGAAGAGGGUCAGGGCUUGUGUAGCAUUUUCCGCAACCAGCACCUCAUGGAAUAGCAUAGAUAGUGACAAGAUAUGGGCUUAGCCAUGAAAACUCCUAGAAAGUUUAUUGGAAUCAGCGAUAGGAAUCUUUAGUCUUCUCUCAUUUCAAACUCCGCAUCUGUGAACUUGGAUAAAUCACAUAAGCUCCUGGGUUUCCGUCUUUUUAGCUCUAUGAUUCAAGUGUCUGGUUAUAGUUCUGGCUGAAUGGUGACCAUUUUUCGGAAGCCAUCUGUUAGAGCUGCAUCUGUGUACAUAAACCAGGUUCCACAUGCACAGGACCCGUGUUCCAUAUAUGAAUGCGUCUGUGUUUAUUUCCCAUAGGCAUGUGUUAUGGGUAAUAUUCUGCCCUAUUCUUGUUACCGACUCUGAACUUGUACUGCUCACCACACUUCACGACAGGCCAGAAAAUGUAGGGAGGAGUCGUUGUGGGGAGGAAUAGCAAACAGGGUUGGGGUUAGGGUUACUCAGAAAGCCAGCAGACAGAGAAGAUGGGGUAGUAGUGUCCCCAAAACCAUCUUACCCAAGUUAGGCUUCUUUUACACUAAAAGUGGAGGAGGUUUGGCUUUUUUGCAAACGUCUUGGUGCCAGAAUCCUUUGUUCUUGUCGCUGUCCAUGUGGGUGUGGUCACCGUGUUCCCAGAGACCUCUGACGAGACAAAUGUCAUUCUCUGCCCUGCGAUUUUUCAUCUCUAUACGAAUAGAAAAGUGUUCUACCUUUAAAGGUCAGAGCCUUGAGAACAGGCGAUCCUGUCUAUUUCAGGCUCUAGGCAACAUUCUUUUACCAAUGCGCAGAAUCAGCAUGACUAAGCACAGCCACAGAGCACGAGGGCUAGAGCUAAAGGAAUAGACCCAGUAUGGAGUCAGGUUUGUUCUUCUCUGUUAUGUUAUUAGCUUCUC
This 6735-nucleotide long non-coding RNA is filed under the name Sus scrofa (pig). RNAcentral's name for it is "lncRNA (ENSSSCG00025014850.1)". Lineage: Eukaryota; Metazoa; Chordata; Mammalia; Artiodactyla; Suidae. The record is from RNAcentral.